UUUUGUUUUCUGUUCUUUUUUAUUAUUUCCCUUGCACAAAACUCAAAGAACUUGCAAAGGAAAACGCCACAACUAGAAUCAUCAGCUUGGCAUGGGCUAUCCUCAAAUUUGAUUAUUUUGCAUUGCUUAGGGUCAACGGAGUCCUCCAAUAAUUGAAACAUCAAAAAAAUAAUGGCUUAUAGGUUUUUAAAUUUUGCUCUGUGGAAUAAAAAAUAGAAAUAUUUUUUUCCUUUCUAGGUCAAUAGAAGCUCGAAAGAAGUGCUUCAUAAGUAGCAUUGAAAAAAAGAGCUUUUUGUGCUUUUUGUUAUGUUUAGGAUAUUCUUGGAAAUCAUUAAAUUUCAUCAUAAUAAGGCAAAGAGUCAUGAUGGGGUAGAAAUAACAGUAUUCGAAAUUCUGACGUAGAGUUUCAAAAAAAUAAUCAAUAUCCCAAGUAUUGAACCACGAGCUUGGUUUGAGUAACUCCAAGUAUGGACCGUUAGUACAUAAUUGCUCUUUUAUUUUCUCUACAAUCACGUCAGCAGAAUACAUUCUUGUAAUGAGCUUUUGUGAAACAGAGUAAUGAGCUGCCUUAUAUGAUCCAGUCACAAUGUUAAAUUCAUUCACACUUUUCAACAUCAAAUUUUUUCCACAGAUAUUCACUCUCUCAAUCUGAUUAUGCAUCAUGGACACUCCAUUCAGUUUAUUAGCUUCAUCCGAUGUCCUUGUCACGACUACACUGGAUUCUAG
Molecule: unclassified non-coding RNA, 726 nt
Filed under: Hevea brasiliensis (rubber tree)
Lineage: Eukaryota; Viridiplantae; Streptophyta; Magnoliopsida; Malpighiales; Euphorbiaceae
Source: RNAcentral